GGUAGUCCUAGCCGUAAACGAUGGAUGCUAGGCGUUGGCAGACUCAAUCCUGUCCGCGCCGAAGUUAACACGAUAAGCAUCCCGCCUGGGAAGUACGACCGCAAGGUUAAAACUCAAAGGAAUUGACGGGGACCCGCACAAGCAGCGGAGCGUGUGGUUUAAUUCGAUGCUACACGAAGAACCUUACCCGGACUUGACAUAUAGAUGGUAGAGAAGAGAAAUUGGAUCGACUCGCAAGAGAGUUUAUACAGGUGUUGCAUGGCUGUCGUCAGCUCGUGUCGUGAGAUGUUCGUUUAAGUACGCUAACGAGCGCAACCCUCAUUGCCAGUUACAAGUGUCUGGCGAGACUGCCGGCCGCAAGCCGGAGGAAGGCGGGGAUGACGUCAAGUCAGCAUGGCCUUUAUGUCCGGGGCUACACACACGCUACAAUGGGAUGGAACAAUGGGAAGCCAAGCCGCGAGGCGGAGCAAAUCCUAGUAAAACAUUCCUCAGUUCAGAUUGCAGGCUGCAACUCGCCUGCAUGAAGUUGGAGUUGCUAGUAAACGCGCGUCAGCUAUAGUGCGUUGAAUACGUUCCCGGGUCUUGUACACACCGCCCGUCACACUAUGGGAGCUGGUAACACCUAAAGACAUUGGCUUAACCGCGAGGAGAGUAAUGUUUAGGGUGGGGUCGGUGACUGGAGUGAAGUCGUAACAAGGUAGCCAAUCGAAUUCC
Molecule: ribosomal RNA, 714 nt
Filed under: uncultured Thermomicrobia bacterium
Lineage: Bacteria; Pseudomonadati; Thermomicrobiota; Thermomicrobia
Description: bacterial SSU rRNA
Rfam family: Bacterial small subunit ribosomal RNA
Source: RNAcentral